CUGAAGAAUGAGCAAAGCUGUGUGCAGAUCAGCUGGGAUUCCGUGAGCCUCCUAAACAGCUAUAGUGCAUCCUUCCAGUGCACACUACAGCUCUUGGUUCAAAUGGAUGAAACCAAACUUAUCCAUGGCCUUUCAUCUUAGGAUAUGCUGAAACAGUCACGGGGAGGCCCUCUCCUUCUUGCGAUCACAUCUUCAGGAAAUAUUCUUGGUUAAGAGUGGAAAGUGAGCUUCCAUGAGGGACUGUGCACUGUUGGGUCGAAGAGCUCAAGAACACUGCUCACUUUUCAGAUGCAGAAAGGCUCCCUUCACCACGCCUGCUGGAAAGGCAACUCUUAUGACACCUUGACUGCUUUCUACUAUUCAGUUUCAAGAUUAGUAAUGGAUUCUCACAUAAAUUCCAGUAGAUAAAUUUCUUUGUGCUCUUAAGAUAACACAGGAUCCCUCCUGACUCAGGAUUCGGUUGCUGCAUGCUCUGUAGAGUCCAUGUGAGCAUUGGCCAGGUGAAAGUCCCUGAUGGGAUUUAUCUCCUUUCUUAGAGAUGGCUUAUUCUCCAUGACUGACUCAUCAUCUUUUGGUGUGGGAUACAGAGCUCAUGUAUUUGGACCGAGGGGAACAUAGUGAUGGAUCCGAUAACACAGCCACUGCACAGAAAUCAGUUAAUAAAUCAACGAGACAGAAAUCUGUAGGAAACCCUGAACCAUCCUCUUUCAUGAGCAGACUUCAAGCAAAUGCUGUGGGCAUGAAUGCAAAGCAGUCGGAAAUACCUCACCCUGCCAUGGCACUAGGAAUAUGACUAAAGGUCAUUACCAGAAAGUGAGAAUUGUGAAGGAGAUACUGCAUUCUCACAAGGAGGUCUCUGAAGCUUUGCUCACAUGUGCCUGGGAGGAAGCAAACACUGACACAGCAUAAGCUUCUCCCUUUUGAAUGUUUAUAUUCCUGCUGCUGAACACUUAUAAAACACCAUCAGGGCUGGAUAAAUGAAGUCUGUUCUGCAGACCCAAUGUAUCAUGAAG
This 1013-nucleotide long non-coding RNA is filed under the name Heterocephalus glaber (naked mole-rat). Its description in RNAcentral is "lncRNA (ENSHGLG00100050150.1)". The record is from RNAcentral. Lineage: Eukaryota; Metazoa; Chordata; Mammalia; Rodentia; Bathyergidae.